CAGUAGCCGCGGUAAAACGGAGGGUGCAAGCGUUAAUCGGAAUUACUGGGCGUAAAGCGCACGCAGGCGGUCUGACAAGUCAGAUGUGAAAUCCCCGGGCUUAACCUGGGAACUGCAUUUGAAACUGUCAGGCUGGAGUCUUGUAGAGGGGGGUGGAAUUCCAGGUGUAGCGGUGAAAUGCGUAGAGAUCUGGAGGAAUACCGGUGGCGAAGGCGGCCCCCUGGACAAAGACUGACGCUCAGGUGCGAAAGCGUGGGGAGCAAACAGGAUUAGAUACCCGGGUAGUCCCUGUCUCUUAUAC
RNAcentral lists this ribosomal RNA (301 nucleotides) under uncultured bacterium. RNAcentral's name for it is "partial 16S ribosomal RNA". It matches the Rfam family "Bacterial small subunit ribosomal RNA", at positions 509 to 807 of the family's 1533-position model. The record is from RNAcentral.